This 450-nucleotide ribosomal RNA is filed under the name uncultured bacterium. RNAcentral describes it as "partial 16S ribosomal RNA". It matches the Rfam family "Bacterial small subunit ribosomal RNA", at positions 354 to 796 of the family's 1533-position model. The record is from RNAcentral.
GUGGGGAAUAUUGGACAAUGGGCGAAAGCCUGAUCCAGCCAUGCCGCGUGUGUGAAGAAGGUCUUCGGAUUGUAAAGCACUUUAAGUUGGGAGGAAGGGCAGUAAGUUAAUACCUUGCUGUUUUGACGUUACCGACAGAAUAAGCACCGGCUAACUUCGUGCCAGCAGCCGCGGUAAUACGAAGGGUGCAAGCGUUAAUCGGAAUUACUGGGCGUAAAGCGCGCGUAGGUGGUUUUGUAAGUUGGAGGUGAAAUCACCGGUCUCAACCUGGGAACUGCCUGCAAAACUGCAUGACUAGAGUACGGUAGAGUGUAGUGGAAGUUCCUGUGUAGCGGUGAAAUGCGUAGAUAUAGGAAGGAACACCAGUUGCGAAGGCGACUACCUGGACUGAUACUGACACUGAGGUGCGAAAGCGUGGGGAGCAAACAGGAUUAGAAACCCGGGUAGUCC